AUACGAAGGGUGCAAGCGUUAAUCGGAAUUACUGGGCGUAAAGCGCGCGUAGGUGGUUCGUUAAGUUGGAUGUGAAAGCCCCGGGCUCAACCUGGGAACUGCAUCCAAAACUGGCGAGCUAGAGUAUGGCAGAGGGUGGUGGAAUUUCCUGUGUAGCGGUGAAAUGCGUAGAUAUAGGAAGGAACACCAGUGGCGAAGGCGACCACCUGGGCUAAAACUGACACUGAGGUGCGAAAGCGUGGGGAGCAAACAGGAUUAGAUCCCCUGGUAGUCCACGCCGUAAACGAUGUCGACUAGCCGUUGGGAUCCUUGAGAUCUUAGUGGCGCAGCUAACGCAUUAAGUCGACCGCCUGGGGAGUACGGCCGCAAGGUUAAAACUCAAAUGAAUUGACGGGG
RNAcentral lists this ribosomal RNA (396 nucleotides) under uncultured bacterium. RNAcentral's name for it is "partial 16S ribosomal RNA". It matches the Rfam family "Bacterial small subunit ribosomal RNA", at positions 523 to 918 of the family's 1533-position model. The record is from RNAcentral.